RNAcentral lists this ribosomal RNA (1332 nucleotides) under uncultured bacterium. RNAcentral's name for it is "bacterial SSU rRNA". It matches the Rfam family "Bacterial small subunit ribosomal RNA", at positions 28 to 1381 of the family's 1533-position model. The record is from RNAcentral.
GACGAACGCUGGCGGCACGCUUAACACAUGCAAGUCGAACGAGAGAAGAGAAGCUUGCUUUUCUGAUCUAGUGGCGGACGGGUGAGUAACACGUGAGCAAUCUGCCUUUCAGAGGGGGAUACCGAUUGGAAACGAUCGUUAAUACCGCAUAACAUAAUUGAACCGCAUGAUUUGAUUAUCAAAGAUUUAUCGCUGAAAGAUGAGCUCGCGUCUGAUUAGCUAGUUGGUAAGGUAACGGCUUACCAAGACGACGAUCAGUAGCCGGACUGAGAGGUUGAUCGGCCACAUUGGGACUGAGACACGGCCCAGACUCCUACGGGAGGCAGCAGUGGGGAAUAUUGCACAAUGGAGGAAACUCUGAUGCAGCGAUGCCGCGUGAGGGAAGAAGGUUUUAGGAUUGUAAACCUCUGUCUUCAGGGACGAAAAAUGACGGUACCUGAGGAGGAAGCUCCGGCUAACUACGUGCCAGCAGCCGCGGUAAUACGUAGGGAGCGAGCGUUGUCCGGAAUUACUGGGUGUAAGGGAGCGUAGGCGGGAUCGCAAGUCAGAUGUGAAAACUAUGGGCUUAACCCAUAAACUGCAUUUGAAACUGUGGUUCUUGAGUGAAGUAGAGGUAAGCGGAAUUCCUAGUGUAGCGGUGAAAUGCGUAGAUAUUAGGAGGAACAUCAGUGGCGAAGGCGGCUUACUGGGCUUUAACUGACGCUGAGGCUCGAAAGCGUGGGGAGCAAACAGGAUUAGAUACCCUGGUAGUCCACGCCGUAAACGAUGAUUACUAGGUGUGGGGGGACUGACCCCUUCCGUGCCGCAGCAAACGCAAUAAGUAAUCCACCUGGGGAGUACGACCGCAAGGUUGAAACUCAAAGGAAUUGACGGGGGCCCGCACAAGCAGUGGAGUAUGUGGAUUAAUUCGAAGCAACGCGAAGAACCUUACCAGGUCUUGACAUCGUAUGCAUAGCUCAGAGAUGAGUGAAAUCUCUUCGGAGACAUAUAGACAGGUGGUGCAUGGUUGUCGUCAGCUCGUGUCGUGAGAUGUUGGGUUAAGUCCCGCAACGAGCGCAACCCUUACUGUUAGUUGCUACGCAAGAGCACUCUAGCAGGACUGCCGUUGACAAAACGGAGGAAGGUGGGGAUGACGUCAAAUCAUCAUGCCCCUUAUGACCUGGGCCUCACACGUACUACAAUGGCUGUCAACAGAGGGAAGCAAAGCCGCGAGGUGGAGCGAAUCCCUAAAAGCAGUCUUAGUUCGGAUUGUAGGCUGCAACCCGCCUACAUGAAGUCGGAAUUGCUAGUAAUCGCAGAUCAGCAUGCUGCGGUGAAUACGUUCCCGGGCCU